UCCGUAGGUGAACCUGCGGAGGGAUCAUUACCGAGUUUACAACUCCCAAACCCAAUGUGAACCAUACCAAACUGUUGCCUCGGCGGGGUCACGCCCCGGGUGCGUCGCAGCCCCGGAACCAGGCGCCCGCCGGAGGGACCAACCAAACUCUUUUCUGUAGUCCCCUCGCGGACGUUAUUUCUUACAGCUCUGAGCAAAAAUUCAAAAUGAAUCAAAACUUUCAACAACGGAUCUCUUGGUUCUGGCAUCGAUGAAGAACGCAGCGAAAUGCGAUAAGUAAUGUGAAUUGCAGAAUUCAGUGAAUCAUCGAAUCUUUGAACGCACAUUGCGCCCGCCAGUAUUCUGGCGGGCAUGCCUGUCCGAGCGUCAUUUCAACCCUCGAACCCCUCCGGGGGGUCGGCGUUGGGGACCUCGGGAGCCCCUAAGACGGGAUCCCGGCCCCGAAAUACAGUGGCGGUCUCGCCGCAGCCUCUCCUGCGCAGUAGUUUGCACAACUCGCACCGGGAGCGCGGCGCGUCCACGUCCGUAAAACACCCAACUUCUGAAAUGUUGACCUCGGAUCAGGUAGGAAUACCCGCUGAACUUAAGCAUAUCAAUAAGCGGAGGAA
RNAcentral lists this ribosomal RNA (608 nucleotides) under Trichoderma atroviride. RNAcentral's name for it is "eukaryotic LSU rRNA". The stretch from base 216 to 369 matches the Rfam family "5.8S ribosomal RNA". The record is from RNAcentral. Lineage: Eukaryota; Fungi; Ascomycota; Sordariomycetes; Hypocreales; Hypocreaceae.